RNAcentral lists this long non-coding RNA (463 nucleotides) under Monodelphis domestica (gray short-tailed opossum). RNAcentral describes it as "lncRNA (ENSMODG00000042257.1)". The record is from RNAcentral. Lineage: Eukaryota; Metazoa; Chordata; Mammalia; Didelphimorphia; Didelphidae.
CUUUACUCUAAUAUUCAUAUUCUUAUGUGUUAGAUGUUUUUCCUCUUAUAGAACUCCCUUAUCUCCUUAGGAGUCCAGGUUAGCAUUUCUGUAUGGGAUCCCUCAGGAAAGUACUUAACCUCUAUCAAAGAACUUUCACUAGAGAAGAUAUCCUGAGGCCAUUCUCCAGGUAAUGUGCUUUCUUUGGCUGCCAUGCAGGCUGAUUCCUCUCUCAAACAUCUUUCAGAAAAAAAAAAUACCAACACUGGGAUGAUAGGUCCAGAACCGAUGUCAAGCAUUUGAUCACCUGAUUCCCGAUCACCUUUCUGCUUUACAUUAUCCACUGGGGAGUUGGACAUCUCUAAUGAAGAGGUUUCCUGUAAGUGUGAUGAUGGUGGAGUACAAAUCCAGGAAAUGCAGCUGUUUGUAUUCUCAGUGUCUGAUCUCCCUGAGUGACCUAGUCUGCUCUCCUGGAAGACCUUGA